Molecule: long non-coding RNA, 2018 nt
Organism: Papaver somniferum (opium poppy)
Lineage: Eukaryota; Viridiplantae; Streptophyta; Magnoliopsida; Ranunculales; Papaveraceae
Exons: 3
Source: RefSeq, a predicted model, not a curated record
UGAAGUAGAUAUCAGAUUUCGAAGCUUCCAAGAUGAUUUCUUCGUUUUAGGUUCUCGGUUGGAUUCACUUCUGCAGCCCAAACCUCUCAGCUUCGAAAGGCGCUUCCUUUAUAAGAUUCCGAAGGUAUAAUUAAGUGCAUCCAUCUCCAGUGGCAGGUAAAUGUCAAUAGAAUUUCUCUUGAUUGGUAAUCUUUUUGGGGUCCUUUAGGUCAGGGCUUGAUUUGUAUUAUUGUAUAUCAAUUGGAAGGUUUAAGAACUAAACCAUUCACCAAAUAGAUGGGUAGUUCAGUGUUGAUUUAGUAUGAAGGUCGAAUAAUGUGAGAGACAUGUAAAGAUUCAAAUUCAAUGUAGUUAUCUUUUCUUUCAAAAAGGCUAUUGCCAUUUUUCCAAUCACAUAGUCAUGUAAAUAAUAUGAAGAAUUCAGCUUCAAUACUGCACUUGAUUGAAACAUACUCCGCUUGAUGAGGUUAUAGAAUUAUGGAGAAACCCUUUCUUUUACCAUGUUAUAAAGAAUGAUUUUUUGGGGUUUUUUCACAAUUUUCGGCUGUUUAAUUAUCUGACACUUAAUUACAUUGCUUUCUGAUCUAUAAUUUUUGGUUACUGAUCCGUUAAAUCAGAAAGGGGUUAUGCUACUCAAUGUGAUAAACAAAAAAUGAGUCCAAGCUUUGUGAAUACAUUCUUGCUAUUUGCGAUGGAUUUAAAGGUAUAAUAUUAAUUUGAAUUCCAUUUUUCAUUUACUUUUGUGAUUGUGAUUUCUUUUUGGAAGUUAAUGAUUUAGGGUAUGUACUUCGGGGAUAUAGAUGAUCAAAUGACUGUAUCGAUCAUCAGGGAAUUUGUGUACAAAGCCGUGCAUUGGAUGCAAGUGAUUGUAUCGGUAAUAGAUGCAAGUCUCUCCAAAUCUGAAUUUUUGGAAUGUAGUUACUCUUACAUUUAAGCACUUCGCUGGGUAAUCUUUACAAGCUUCUCAGUUUCUCAGUGUACUUACAACAAAUUGACGGAUAUUUAUUCACAAUCUAAGCUAAAUUUACUCAUUUUGGUGUUUUAAUCUAAAUUUUCUAGAUUCUAUGACUGCUUGAUUUUGGUCAGAAUGGCAUGGCUUAUGACUGCCAGUGUGUUCUGUGAAGUAUUUUGUCAUUGGAUCUUCUUUAAAAUAAUCCGAACUGCACAUGAAACAUAAAUAUAUAUAGCUAUUCUGUUGCCAAAAGACUUUUGUGUUAUUAAUUACAAUCGGAAAUAAUUGUGUACAUUUCUUGCCAACGACAUCUUUCAUGAUUAGCUCUGCAUCUUUCAUGAUUAGUUUUACCUGUUUGCUAACAAAUUUCUUCCCAACGGUCGUGUGAAGGAGUGCUGAAUUUAAUGUUUACAUCUUAGCUGAGCAUAAUUCGCAAUGGUUUUUCAGAUUUGAUCCUGAAUCAGGAAAGACAAAGGUGGUAUGAUGGGGUUAAUCCACCUACUAGAUCACCAGUAUUGGUGUUUAUAUCAGCUCUAAGAACCAAAUUGUGUCUUGGAAAAGCAAGGAUGCAGGAUUGAUAUUACAACUCGGCAGCCUGAUGAGAUGAGUAAUGGGAAAAAGGUUCUUAAAUUUUGGAAUUUUGGGUUUUGCUUGGAACUUUGAGUUUGGUCGAAGCGGUAAUAGAUGUUGAGAAGUUUGUACAAAGUCUACAAUGUGAGAGCAAAAGGAGAGAAAUAUGGAAAUGUUUUAUUGUUUACUUUUCUCAAGUACUCGAGAAGAAUUCAAGCACCAAGUCUACCAGAGAGAAAAAAAUGUGAUUUGCUUACAAGUUCGUCAUUUUCAUCUUCUACCUCCUCCUAUAAAGUGUACAUAUGCUCAUUUGUGUAUCUCUGCCUUCAUUUUUCUCUCUUUGUUCUUUGCCUUUUAUCAUUCCCAAAAGGGGGAGUUUAGGUGGAUUAGGCAUUCUCCUUGCUCACCCUCUGUUUAACUUUGUAACUGUGCCAAUCUACCUUGAAGAGUCAUUUGACAAUGAAUUUUGAUGAUGCAUUGCUAGACUUUAAAUCAA